GACGAACGCUGGCGGCGUGCUUAACACAUGCAAGUCGAACGAUGAAGCCUAGCUUGCUAGGUGGAUUAGUGGCGAACGGGUGAGUAAUACGUGAGUGACCUACCUUUGACUCUGGGAUAAGCCUGGGAAACUGGGUCUAAUACCGGAUACGACCAAUCUCCGCAUGGGGUGUUGGUGGAAAGCGUUAUGGAGUGGUUUUAGAUGGGCUCACGGCCUAUCAGCUUGUUGGUGAGGUAAUGGCUUACCAAGGCGACGACGGGUAGCCGGCCUGAGAGGGUGACCGGCCACACUGGGACUGAAACACGGCCCAGACUCCUACGGGAGGCAGCAGUGGGGAAUAUUGGGCGAUGGGCGCAAGCCUGAUGCAUCGACCCCGCGUGAGGGAUGACGGCCUUCGGGUUGUAAACCUCUGUUAGCAUCGAAGAACCGAAAGUGACGGUAUGUGCAGAAAAAGCGCCGGCUUAUUACGUGCCACCCACCGCGGUAACUGUUAGGCGCGAGCGUUGUCCGGAAUUUAUGGGCGUUAAUAGCUUGCAUGCGGUUGGUCGCGUCUGCUGUGAAAGGCUGGGGCUUAAUCCUGGUUUUGCAGUGGGUACGGGCUAACUAGAGUGCAGUAGGGGAGACUGGAAUUCCUGGUGUAGCGGUGGAAUGCGCAGAUAUCAGGAGGAACACCGAUGGCGAAGGCAGGUCUCUGGGCUGUAACUGACGCUGAGAAGCGAAAGCAUGGGGAGCGAACAGGAUUAGAUACCCUGGUAGUCCAUGCCGUAAACGUUGGGCACUAGGUGUGGGGGACAUUCCACGUUUUCCGCGCCGUAGCUAACGCAUUAAGUGCCCCGCCUGGGGAGUACGGCCGCAAGGCUAAAACUCAAAGAAAUUGACGGGGGCCCGCACAAGCGGCGGAGCAUGCGGAUUAAUUCGAUGCAACGCGAAGAACCUUACCAAGGCUUGACAUAUACUGGACUGCGUCAGAGAUGGCGUUUCCCUUCGGGGCUGGUAUACAGGUGGUGCAUGGUUGUCGUCAGCUCGUGUCGUGAGAUGUUGGGUUAAGUCCCGCAACGAGCGCAACCCUCGUUCUAUGUUGCCAGCACGUGAUGGUGGGGACUCAUAGGAGACUGCCGGGGUUAACUCGGAGGAAGGUGGGGAUGACGUCAAAUCAUCAUGCUCCUUAUGCCUUGGGCUUCACGCAUGCUACAAUGGCCGGUACAGAGGGUUGCGAUACUGUGAGGUGGAGCUAAUCCCUAAAAGCCGGUCUCAGUUCGGAUUGGGGUCUGCAACUCGACCCCAUGAAGUCGGAGUCGCUAGUAAUCGCAGAUCAGCAACGCUGCGGUGAAUACGUUCCCGGGCCU
RNAcentral lists this ribosomal RNA (1346 nucleotides) under uncultured bacterium. RNAcentral's name for it is "bacterial SSU rRNA". It matches the Rfam family "Bacterial small subunit ribosomal RNA", at positions 28 to 1381 of the family's 1533-position model. The record is from RNAcentral.